This 253-nucleotide ribosomal RNA is filed under the name uncultured bacterium. RNAcentral's name for it is "partial 16S ribosomal RNA". It matches the Rfam family "Bacterial small subunit ribosomal RNA", at positions 524 to 776 of the family's 1533-position model. The record is from RNAcentral.
UACGUAGGGGGCAAGCGUUGUCCGGAUUUAUUGGGCGUAAAGAGCGUGUAGGCGGCUUUAUAGGUCCGCUGUGAAAACUCGAGGCUCAACCUCGAGACGCCGGUGGAAACCGUAAAGCUAGAGUCCGGAAGAGGAGAGUGGAAUUCCUGGUGUAGCGGUGAAAUGCGCAGAUAUCAGGAAGAACACCCGUGGCGAAGGCGGCUCUCUGGGACGGUACUGACGCUGAGACGCGAAAGCGUGGGGAGCGAACAGG